Molecule: ribosomal RNA, 520 nt
Filed under: Ganoderma australe
Lineage: Eukaryota; Fungi; Basidiomycota; Agaricomycetes; Polyporales; Polyporaceae
Description: partial large subunit ribosomal RNA
Rfam family: Eukaryotic large subunit ribosomal RNA
Source: RNAcentral
UGAAGUCAGUCGCGUUGUCCGGAACUCAGCCUUGCUUUUGCUUGGUGCACUUUCCGGAUGACGGGUCAGCAUCGAUUUUGACCGUCGGAAAAGGGCUGGAGUAAUGUGGCACCUCCGGGUGUGUUAUAGACUCUGGUCGCAUACGGCGGUUGGGAUCGAGGAACGCAGCGCGCCGCGAGGCAGGGGUUCGCCCACUUUCGCGCUUAGGAUGCUGGCAUAAUGGCUUUAAACGACCCGUCUUGAAACACGGACCAAGGAGUCUAACAUACUUGCGAGUGUUUGGGUGGAAAACCCGAGCGCGUAAUGAAAGUGAAAGUUGAGAUCCCUGUCGUGGGGAGCAUCGACGCCCGGACCAGACGUUCUCUGACGGAUCCGCGGUAGAGCAUGUAUGUUGGGACCCGAAAGAUGGUGAACUAUGCCUGAAUAGGGUGAAGCCAGAGGAAACUCUGGUGGAGGCUCGUAGCGAUUCUGACGUGCAAAUCGAUCGUCAAAUUUGGGUAUAGGGGCGAAAGACUAAUCG